GACGAACGCUGGCGGCGUGCUUAACACAUGCAAGUCGAACGGUAAGGCCCUUCGGGGUACACGAGUGGCGAACGGGUGAGUAACACGUGGGUGAUCUGCCCUGCACUUCGGGAUAAGCCUGGGAAACUGGGUCUAAUACCGGAUAGGACCCUGGGAUGCAUGUCCUGGGGUGGAAAGCUUUUGCGGUGUGGGAUGGGCCCGCGGCCUAUCAGCUUGUUGGUGGGGUGAUGGCCUACCAAGGCGACGACGGGUAGCCGGCCUGAGAGGGGGACCGGCCACAAUGGGACUGAGAUACGGCCCAGACUCGUACGGGAGGCAGCAGUGGGGAAUAUUGCACAAUGGGCGCAAGCCUGAUGCAGCGACGCCGCGUGAGGGAUGACGGCCUUCGGGUUGUAAACCUCUUUCAGCACCGACGAAGCGCAAGUGACGGUAGGUGCAGAAGAAGGACCGGCCAACUACGUGCCAGCCGCCGCAGUAA
Molecule: ribosomal RNA, 478 nt
Filed under: uncultured bacterium
Lineage: Bacteria
Description: partial 16S ribosomal RNA
Rfam family: Bacterial small subunit ribosomal RNA
Source: RNAcentral